Molecule: ribosomal RNA, 500 nt
Filed under: uncultured bacterium
Lineage: Bacteria
Description: partial 16S ribosomal RNA
Rfam family: Bacterial small subunit ribosomal RNA
Source: RNAcentral
AUUGAACGCUGGCGGCAUGCUUUACACAUGCAAGUCGAACGGUAACAGGGUGCUUGCACCGCUGACGAGUGGCGAACGGGUGAGUAAUGCGUCGGAACGUGCCGAGUAGUGGGGGAUAACGCAGCGGAAGUUGUGCUAAUACCGCAUACGUACUGAGGUAGAAAGUGGGGGACCUUCGGGCCUCACGCUAUUCGAGCGGCCGGCGUCUGAUUAGCUAGUAGGUGAGGUAAAGGCUCACCUAGGCGACGAUCAGUAGCGGGUCUGAGAGGAUGAUCCGCCACACUUGGACUGAGACACGGCCCAGACUCCUACGGGAGGCAGCAGUGGGGAAUUUUGGACAAUGGGCGAAAGCCUGAUCCAGCCAUGCCGCGUGUCUGAAGAAGGCCUUCGGGUUGUAAAGGACUUUUGUCAGGGAGGAAAUCCCUAGUGCUAAUAACACUGGGGGAUGACAGUACCUGAAGAAUAAGCACCGGCUAACUACGUGCCAGCCGCCGCAGUAA